RNAcentral lists this ribosomal RNA (372 nucleotides) under uncultured bacterium. RNAcentral's name for it is "bacterial SSU rRNA". It matches the Rfam family "Bacterial small subunit ribosomal RNA", at positions 523 to 897 of the family's 1533-position model. The record is from RNAcentral.
AUACGGAGGGUCCAAGCGUUAUCCGGAUUUAUUGGGUUUAAAGGGAGCGUAGGCGGAUGGUUAAGUCAGUUGUGAAAUUUUUCGGCUUAACCUUGAAAGUGCAGUUGAUACUGGACGGCUUGAAUUUAUUAGAUGUGGGCGGAAUUCGUGGUGUAGCGGUGAAAUGCUUAGAUAUCACGAAGAACACCAAUGGCGAAGGCAGCUCACAAGACUGUAACUGACGCUGAUGCUCGAAAGUGUGGGUAUCAAACAGGAUUAGAUACCCUGGUAGUCCACACAGUAAACGAUGAAUACUCGCUGUUGGCGAUAUACAGUAAGCGGCCAAGCGAAAGCGAUAAGUAAUCCACCUGGGGAGUACGCCGGCAACGGUGA